This 77-nucleotide transfer RNA is filed under the name Candidatus Magasanikbacteria bacterium RIFOXYA2_FULL_44_8. RNAcentral's name for it is "tRNA-Met". It matches the Rfam family "tRNA". Rfam says of the family: Transfer RNA (tRNA) molecules are approximately 80 nucleotides in length. Their secondary structure includes four short double-helical elements and three loops (D, anti-codon, and T loops). Further hydrogen bonds mediate the characteristic L-shaped molecular structure. tRNAs have two regions of fundamental functional importance: the anti-codon, which is responsible for specific mRNA codon recognition, and the 3' end, to which the tRNAs corresponding amino acid is attached (by aminoacyl-tRNA synthetases). tRNAs cope with the degeneracy of the genetic code in two manners: having more than one tRNA (with a specific anti-codon) for a particular amino acid; and 'wobble' base-pairing, i.e. permitting non-standard base-pairing at the 3rd anti-codon position. The record is from RNAcentral. Lineage: Bacteria; Candidatus Magasanikiibacteriota.
CGCGGGGUAGAGCAGCCAGAUAGCUCGGCGGGCCCAUAACCCGCAGGUCGCGGGUUUAAAUCCCGCCCCCGCAACAA